RNAcentral lists this ribosomal RNA (301 nucleotides) under uncultured bacterium. RNAcentral describes it as "partial 16S ribosomal RNA". It matches the Rfam family "Bacterial small subunit ribosomal RNA", at positions 509 to 807 of the family's 1533-position model. The record is from RNAcentral.
CAGUCGCCGCGGUAACACGUAGGUGGCAAGCGUUGUCCGGAAUUAUUGGGCGUAAAGCGCGCGCAGGUGGUUUAAUAAGUCUGAUGUGAAAGCCCACGGCUCAACCGUGGAGGGUCAUUGGAAACUGUUAAACUUGAGUGCAGGAGAGAAAAGUGGAAUUCCUAGUGUAGCGGUGAAACGCGUAGAGAUUAGGAGGAACACCAGUGGCGAAGGCGGCUUUUUGGCCUGUAACUGACACUGAGGCGCGAAAGCGUGGGGAGCAAACAGGAUUAGAUACCCGAGUAGUCCCUGUCUCUUAUAC